This 210-nucleotide ribosomal RNA is filed under the name Taenia hydatigena. RNAcentral describes it as "partial small subunit ribosomal RNA". The record is from RNAcentral. Lineage: Eukaryota; Metazoa; Platyhelminthes; Cestoda; Cyclophyllidea; Taeniidae.
UUAUGUUGGUGUAUAUCUGGUUUAAUAUUAUCGUUGAGUAAGUGAGUUUGUGUAGUUUUAUUUAAGCCAAGUCUAUGUGCUGCUUAUGAAAGUUUUCAUGCGUUACAUUUAUAAGGUUUUGGUUGUAAUACUAAAAUAUUUAGGACUUAAAAGUAAUGUUCAAUAAGUUUGUGAGUGUGAAGUAAGUUUAGCUCAUGUACACACCGCCCC